UAGCCAGGAGAAGAGAUGUCAAUUAUAAA
RNAcentral lists this non-coding RNA (29 nucleotides) under Mus musculus (house mouse). The record is from RNAcentral. Lineage: Eukaryota; Metazoa; Chordata; Mammalia; Rodentia; Muridae.